This 329-nucleotide unclassified non-coding RNA is filed under the name soil metagenome. Its description in RNAcentral is "partial contains 5.8S ribosomal RNA, internal transcribed spacer 2, and large subunit ribosomal RNA". The stretch from base 1 to 120 matches the Rfam family "5.8S ribosomal RNA", at positions 35 to 154 of the family's 154-position model. The record is from RNAcentral.
GAUGAAGAACGUAGCGAAAUGCGAUAAGUAGUGUGAAUUGCAGAAUUCAGUGAAUCAUCGAAUCUUUGAACGCACAUUGCGCCCCUUGGUAUCCCGAGGGGCAUGCCUGUUCGAGCGUCAUUUCACCACUCAAGCCUGGCUUGGUGUUGGGCGACGUCCCCUUUGGGGACGCGCCUCGAAACGCUCGGCGGCGUGGCACCGGCUUUAAGCGUAGCAGAAUCUUUCGCUUUGGAAGUCGGGGCCCCGUCUGCCGGAAGACCUACUCGCUAGGUUGACCUCGGAUCAGGCAGGGAUACCCGCUGAACUUAAGCAUAUCAAUAAGCGGAGGA